RNAcentral lists this ribosomal RNA (264 nucleotides) under uncultured bacterium. RNAcentral describes it as "partial 16S ribosomal RNA". It matches the Rfam family "Bacterial small subunit ribosomal RNA", at positions 793 to 1055 of the family's 1533-position model. The record is from RNAcentral.
GUCCACGCCCUAAACGAUGCGAACUGGACGUUGGGAGCAAUUAGGCUCUCAGUGUCGAAGCUAACGCGUUAAGUUCGCCGCCUGGGGAGUACGGUAGCAAGACUGAAACUCAAAGGAAUUGACGGGGGCCCGCACAAGCGGUGGAGUAUGUGGUUUAAUUCGAUGCAACGCGCAGAACCUUACCUGGCCUUGACAUCCACGGAAUCCUUGAGAGAUCAGGGAGUGCCUUCGGGAACAGUGAGACAGGUGCUGCAUGGCUGUCGU